CCUACGGGAGGCAGCAGUGGGGAAUAUUGGACAAUGGGGGAAACCCUGAUCCAGCAAUGCCGCGUGGGUGAUGAAGGCCUUCGGGUUGUAAAGCCCUUUUGGCGGGGACGAUGAUGACGGUACCCGCAGAAGAAGCCCCGGCUAACUUCGUGCCAGCAGCCGCGGUAAUACGAAGGGGGCUAGCGUUGUUCGGAAUUACUGGGCGUAAAGGGCGCGUAGGCGGCCUUGAUAGUUGGGCGUGAAAGGCCUGGGCUCAACCCGGGAACUGCGUUCAAUACUGUAAGGCUAGAGUGUGGGAGAGGUUGGUGGAAUUCCCAGUGUAGAGGUGAAAUUCGUAGAUAUUGGGAAGAACACCGGUGGCGAAGGCGGCCAACUGGACCACAACUGACGCUGAGGCGCGAAAGCGUGGGGAGCAAACAGGAUUAGAUACCCUGGUAGUCCACGCUGUAAACUAUGUGUGCUUGACGUCGGGGGGCCUAGCCCUUCGGUGUCGGAGCUAACGCGGUAAGCACACCGCCUGGGGAGUACGGUCGCAAGAUUAAAACUCAAAGGAAUUGACGG
RNAcentral lists this ribosomal RNA (561 nucleotides) under uncultured Alphaproteobacteria bacterium. RNAcentral's name for it is "bacterial SSU rRNA". It matches the Rfam family "Bacterial small subunit ribosomal RNA", at positions 338 to 916 of the family's 1533-position model. The record is from RNAcentral. Lineage: Bacteria; Pseudomonadati; Pseudomonadota; Alphaproteobacteria.